Molecule: long non-coding RNA, 1946 nt
Organism: Gadus morhua (Atlantic cod)
Lineage: Eukaryota; Metazoa; Chordata; Actinopteri; Gadiformes; Gadidae
Source: Ensembl
CAUAUGGAGUCAUCACACCUGGGGAGGAGGUGUUUGAUCAUGACAUGCAGGGAGGAGAGGAGGAUGAUGAUGACAACAUCGAGUUUCCGGAUGAGGUCAAGGUCAACCACUCUGGAGACAUCAAGGAUGAGCAGUGUUUCAUCGUUUACAAAAAAAACCUGCUGCAACUCGUCACCUUCCUGCUGCACCUUCCAGAAGAGAUGAAGUGCAGAGAGCCAGAAUGUACAAGUACCGUACGCCUUGGCCCUGACCCAGUGACCAAAUCUGUUGGCAGCGGAAUGGUCCUUAAAUGGUACUGCAGUGAUGGACACCUUCUCUGGAGGUGGUGCAGUCAGCCCACAUUCAAAUAUGGUUUGCAGGGGGGGGAUUUCAUGCUGUCUUCCAGUUUAUUGUUGUCAGGCAACAAUUACAGCAAGAUAAGCCUAAUGUUCAAGUUCAUGAACUUAGGUUGUGUGUGCGACUCAACUUUUCGCAAGAUCCAGUUGCAGUACUGUGUGCCGGUAAUCGACAGAUUCUGGAAAAGACAACUGAAUGCCCUCAUUCCCGAGAUGAAGAGGAGGAACAGUGUUGUUCUGCUUGGAGACGGAAGGAUGGAUUCCCCUGGCCAUUCUGCACAAUACUGCACUUACACUGUCAUGGAUGAAAAGACGAGAGCCAUCGUCGCCCUCGAAGUUGUUGAUAAGAGGGAAACGGAAAGAAAGUCUGCAAUAAUGGAGAAGAAGGGCUUCGAAAAAGCGAUGGACUCUCUGCUUGAAGCAGAUGUGCCGGUCAGAGGAGGUGUGCACUGACGCACACCCACAGAUUGGUGCACUGAUGAACGCUGACAAGGGGAAGUAUGGCAUGAAGGACAUCUUCCAUUCACUGGAUGUCUGGCACGGAGCAAAAAACCUGAUGAAAAAACUAUUGGCAGCACUGUGGACUGGUGUCUUGCACCAUGUGUGUGAUGAACACCAAUGGGCUCUUGGAGCUUGUGACCAUGACCCGAUCACAGAGGAGACCCCUCGGACCAAAACCUGGCUUGUGCCUGGUUCUCCAGCCCACAAGAAGCUAACCGCCAUCAUCAUGAAGCCGAGAUGGCUGAAGACAAUUUACAAGUACCUGCGCUUCCGAACAACCUCUGAUCUGGAGUCGUUCCAAAACCACAUCCUGAUGUAUGCCUCAAAGAGGUAUGGUUUCAGCCCCCCAGUCUACGAAGCCCGUUGCAAGUUGGCAGCCCUAGAUUACUACGAGCACAAAGACAGGGCAGUGUGGAAGACAAAAGAUGGGGAUAUCAAGUACAAGAGACGCUUCCAGAAGAAGUCAGAUAGGUGGUCUAUCUACGUUUCGAGGGAGCCAAAGAAAUACACAUACAUCACAGACCUGCAGUCCCAAAUCUUGGAUGAAAGGAUUGACUUGGGAAAGGGAAUGAGCAGGAAGCAGCCAAUGUCAGAGACUGAUCCUAGGAGGCUCGGUCUUCUGCCCAGAGUGCCACCAGUCCCAACCAAUGUGCUGGUCCUGGAGCACAGGUCCAGGAUAGAUGAGUCUGCAGGGGAGUCUUCAACUUUUAUGGGAUUGUCAUAGUUUUCUGUUAUUGUAGGGUAGGUAGGUAGAUAUUACAGUCGGGUUUGUCGGUAACCUUUGUAUUGGCCUUGUGGGUCAGGAAAAGUGUUUCUGAUCCUCCACACACAACAACUGGGUAUCACAACUCUAUUGCCCUCUCCCAGGCGCCCAUACUGCCACAGCACAAACUGUCUGUAGGCAGCAUGCCGGAACUCUCUGUUGUCUUCCCCAGGCUCCUGGACGUCCUGCAAGGCCAGAAUGUCAUUCCUGUACAUUCUGGUCAACACUGUGCUUUUUUUAUGAUAUGUACUGACUUAUAUGACAUGUACUGCCAAAUAUUAAAUUGCCUACUGUUCAAGUUUUCAUACUGUCUUGUCAAGUAAUUGUCAACAUGAGUAAUGAUAAUA